This 298-nucleotide long non-coding RNA is filed under the name Phasianus colchicus (ring-necked pheasant). RNAcentral's name for it is "lncRNA (ENSPCLG00000001888.1)". The record is from RNAcentral. Lineage: Eukaryota; Metazoa; Chordata; Aves; Galliformes; Phasianidae.
UGAUUUUCUGUGAGAAAAUGCAAAUUCCUGUAAGGUUGCUUUUACAUCACAUUUAUCAGUACAUUGUGUUGUUGACAAUGUAAAGCAACUUUAGGACUUCUAAACUUUCAAAAUCUUCUGCUUCAGAAGCAAACAACCCUCUGGAUAAAACCACCAUUUAAGCUCCUGUUGUGUAACUAUUUUACUCCCUUGGAGAAGAUAACAUGUUUCAGAUCACAAGAACUGCUUUAAAUUAAAUAAGAACCGAGAAAGCAGAGACUUCUUCCAAAAGAAAUAAAACUUCAAAAAACAGAUGACA